Molecule: ribosomal RNA, 482 nt
Filed under: uncultured bacterium
Lineage: Bacteria
Description: bacterial SSU rRNA
Rfam family: Bacterial small subunit ribosomal RNA
Source: RNAcentral
GAUAAACGCUGGCGGCGCACAUAAGACAUGCAAGUCGAACGGAAGUCGUUAUACAAGGAGAGAAGAUUUAUCGGAUUGAAUUAUAUAACAAUGGCUUUAGUGGCGGACUGGUGAGUAACGCGUAAGAAAUCUACCUAUUAGAGGGGAACAACAAUGAGAAAUCAUUGCUAAUACCGCAUAUGCCAUAAACAUCGCAUGAUGAAAGUGGGAAAGGAGCAAUCCGCUGAUAGAUGAUCUUGCGUCUGAUUAGUUAGUUGGUGGGGUAAUGGCCUACCAAGACGACGAUCAGUAGCCGGACUGAGAGGUUGAACGGCCACAUUGGGACUGAGAUACGGCCCAGACUCCUACGGGAGGCAGCAGUCGGGAAUAUUGCGCAGUGGAGGAAACUCUGACGCAGUGACGCCGCGUGCAGGAAGAAGGUUUUCGGAUUGUAAACUGCUUUAGACAGGGAAGAGAAAGGACAGUACCUGUAGAAUAAGCUC